UUCGAAUUUGUCACAUUUCUUGUCAUUCUUACUCUCCAGCCAGAGAGAAAGCACUGCAACCCUAGCUGACCGACAAACGCCGGAACUCAUGCAGAACUCUGGCCUUCCCAAAUUCAUACCCAGACUGUUUCCUCUAUGCUCCUCGUUGAGGAUAGAGCCUGGAUACGAGAUUGUGGCCUCCCCAAAUAAACCAAUCUUCCACCACCUACGAUAUUCAUAGGAAAAUGUCAGUCAAAUUUUUUCAUUAUUUUGUACUCUUUGGUUUGACUCUAGCGGGGGCAAUCAUUGCACAGAGGCCAACAAAAAAACAAAAUGGCUGUUAAUGCAUCUAAUGUAAAUGAGUUCUCUGACUAUUAUAAAAGCCAAUAUAAACAAUAUAAAAGCUGUCCUUCACCCUUUACACAGACCACUGACACCCACAUAACGUGAAAUUAGAAGAGUUUCAUUACUAAUUUACAUGUCUAAAUAUUUUACACAUGUAUGGGCUAUUGUAAAUUAUAUAGUAUAUAUUACUUACUGUUUCACCGGAUUGUGAUUGUGCAUCAGGGGUGGAUUUAUAGGGGGGGAUGCACAGGGGUGCACAUCCCUGUUGGCCUUGCUCAACAGGGGUGCAAGGGGGGUGCAAAAAAAUCAAAUUCAGAAAUAUGGCAUAAU
Molecule: non-coding RNA, 654 nt
Organism: Paramuricea clavata
Lineage: Eukaryota; Metazoa; Cnidaria; Anthozoa; Malacalcyonacea; Plexauridae
Source: the annotation of a GenBank genome assembly